CCAGAGAGAGAGAGCCGGGAGGAAUAAGCGAAGCAAGAGGUGGCGGGAUCCUGCGGGGCUGGAUUGGAGCCCCGGUGGUGCUACUGCUGCCGUUGGACGCCGGCCGAAGGGACAAGUCCCUACGUAAGGAAAUAACAUGUGUUGCAUCGGCACAUUUGAUGCAGAGUAGCUACUCGAGCGCAUGGUGGCAGAGUUCACAAGCUAGAUCUUUGACUGGCGUAAUGGCUUGUCCGGAUGCAGAGAAGGACGGGGUUCAAGUUGUUGGGCCGGUGGCAGGGGCAGCAUGAUGUUUUCGUCAGGUAACAACCUAGCCAUCGACUCAAGAUUUAACUGAACCAAUUCCUUUAAUUCAAGCUCCAAAUCGUUGUUAUUUGAUUCACUAAUUGGUUGCUGGCAACAACUAAUUGGACAUAUAAUUGUUGAUUUCUGUACAAACAAUAUCUUCAGUUGUUUUCAGAUCUUCAAUAAGGAUCAUCAAGCCCUCUGUUUUUUAUAUAAAGAAUAGAUAUUGUAAUUGUGCCUCCAUUACGUCUAAAAGUCAGGUAUCGGAAAAAUGUCAUUGGCAUAUCUCUGUCAUGAUGGAAGAUUGGUUAGACAGAAAAAGGACCUCUGGUUAUGUAUGACAUGAUGCGAGGCACAUAUCUCUGAAUGAAGCGCAACAAGAAUUGACAUCCUCUGAUGCUAACUGUUGACCAUUCUUCUCUGAAGUAUCAGAACAAAUUUAUGUUUCCAGCAAAAAAGUUGGCCGGCCCCAGCAAAAAAAAAAGAACAGUUCCAGCAAAAAAAGAUCGCCGCCGUGGUCACAUGUGUCAACAAGCAGUCUUCGGAAUCAUCAAUAAGCCAACAGCGAGAAAUAAGUUUAAGAAUUGAGUUCCCUUAACAGGGAAAUAAGGAAGGGAAGAAACAAAUAGGGAACAAUCAGAUGAAGCAUCAAGGAAAAUGGAUUGAACAAUCAGAUGAAGCAUCCAGCUCGAGGAGAAGCAUGGUCUGCAAGGAGACCAAUCAUCUUGAGGUGGUUCUUUCAGCUACUUCAUGUUCCAUUACGGAGAAGGGUACUUAGUCGAUCUUAGGAGCCAGACUCUGCUUUCCUUGCAGGGAGAAUUUCAAUAAAUGGUACUAUUACUCUCCCAACAAUUCUUUUAUCACUACAAAAUGUGUAGGAACCUUAUUUUUCCCUGAGAUACUGUAAUUGAGGAACCGAGAGCCGCGACGGAACAUUGUAUUUUGCACUACAUCCUGUAUUUGCUUUGUGGGAAGCUGGCUUGAGGACAAAUAUGUCAGCUCCAUUUUUGCUGUGAGUGAUUCUUCAUAUGACGGUAGUGUUGCUUGUGUUCAUAAUCAGUCUCUAUGUAAUGUUUCGGCAGAGAGAGUUGUAACGCCUCGGUCUUCUUGCCGAGUUGCAGAAUGCUGUUGUUCACUCUGCAAUAGGAUGGAUGAACAUGGUUUUCUUUAUUUUA
This is a long non-coding RNA of Triticum dicoccoides, 1457 nucleotides long. RefSeq lists it as uncharacterized. Lineage: Eukaryota; Viridiplantae; Streptophyta; Magnoliopsida; Poales; Poaceae. The record is from RefSeq and is a predicted model, not a curated record. The transcript is spliced from 4 exons.